GGUCCCGGCUGCAGGUUGGAACAGCAUCCCCGCACGACAUAGCUGGACUGCGGACUCACAAUCCGCCGGAGAAAUCCGGUUGUGGUUUCGAAUCCCGCCCAGCCCACCA
Molecule: transfer RNA, 109 nt
Filed under: Paraburkholderia atlantica
Lineage: Bacteria; Pseudomonadati; Pseudomonadota; Betaproteobacteria; Burkholderiales; Burkholderiaceae
Description: tRNA-Val
Source: RNAcentral